Molecule: ribosomal RNA, 676 nt
Filed under: uncultured bacterium
Lineage: Bacteria
Description: bacterial SSU rRNA
Rfam family: Bacterial small subunit ribosomal RNA
Source: RNAcentral
AGAGUUUGAUCCUGGCUCAGGACGAACGCUGGCGGUGUGCUUCACACAUGCAAGUCGAGCGAAUGAAGAAGGUAGCUUGCUACUUUUGGAUUUAGCGGCGGACGGGUGAGUAAUAUAUAGGAAUCUGCCCUAGAGCGGGGAACAACAGACCGAAAGGUUUGCUAAUGCCCCAUAGGUACGCAGUCUUCGGAUUGUUUAUUAAAGGAGUAAUCCACUCUAGGAUGAGCCUGUAUCCGAUUAGCUAGUUGGCGGGGUAAAGGCCCACCAAGGCUACGAUCGGUAGUUGGUCUGAGAGGAUGAUCAGCCACAAUGGGACUGAGACACGGCCCAUACUCCUACGGGAGGCAGCAGUGGGGAAUUUUACACAAUGGGGGAAACCCUGAUGUAGCGACACCGCGUGAACGAAGAAGCCUUUUGGGGUGUAAAGUUCUGUCGGCUGGAACGAAAAAAAUGACGGUACCAGCAAAGGAAGCAUCGGCUAACUACGUGCCAGCAGCCGCGGUAAGACGUAGGAUGCAAGCGUUGUCCGGAUUUAUUGGGCGUAAAGAGUUCGUAGGCGGUUAUUUAAGUCUGAUGUUAAAUACUGUGGCCCAACCACAGAACUGCAUUGGAUACUGGAUGACUUGAGUGCGGUAGAGGCAAGUGGAAUUCCCAGUGUAGCGGUGAAAUGCGUAGA